This 76-nucleotide transfer RNA is filed under the name Mus musculus (house mouse). RNAcentral's name for it is "tRNA-Ser". Lineage: Eukaryota; Metazoa; Chordata; Mammalia; Rodentia; Muridae. The record is from RNAcentral.
GGAGAGAUGGCUCAGUGGUUAAGAGUACUGAUUGCUGCUCUUCCAGAGGUCCUGAGUUCAAUUCCCAGCAACCACA